This 360-nucleotide ribosomal RNA is filed under the name uncultured Ochrobactrum sp. RNAcentral's name for it is "partial 16S ribosomal RNA". It matches the Rfam family "Bacterial small subunit ribosomal RNA", at positions 399 to 771 of the family's 1533-position model. The record is from RNAcentral. Lineage: Bacteria; Pseudomonadati; Pseudomonadota; Alphaproteobacteria; Hyphomicrobiales; Brucellaceae.
GCGUGUAGUGAUGAAGGCCCUAGGGUUGUAAAGCUCUUUCACCGGUGAAGAUAAUGARCGGUAACCGAAAAAAAAAAGCCCCGGCUAACUUCGUGCCAGCAGCCGCGGUAAUACGAAGGGGGCUAGCGUUGUUCCGAUUUACUGGGCGUAAAGCGCAUCGUAGGCGGAUUUUUAAGUCAGGGGUGAAAUCCCGGGGUUCAACCCCGGAACUGCCUUUGAUACUGGAAGUCUUGAGUAUGGUAGAGGUGAGUGGAAUUCCGAGUGUAGAGGUGAAAUUCGUAGAUAUUCGGAGGAACACCAGUGGCGAAGGCGGCUCACUGGACCAUUACUGACGCUGAGGUGCGAAAGYGUGGGGAGCAA